AUGGCGCUGACCGUCGUCGUGGUGCUGCCCUCGCCGCCGCCGCCGCCGCCCCAGCCGGAGCAGAUCGUCGUCGCGGUGCUGCCCUCGCCGCCACCGCCGCCCCCGCCGGCGCGGGUCGUCGUCGUGGCGCCGGCGCUCGUGUGCCUCCCCUUCGUCCUCCGCGUCGUGGCGUUUGCCCUCAUCUACCUGGGCUUCGCGCUUGCGUGGAUCGUGUCUGCGGCCACGGCUGCAGAGGUCGUCGCGCGCCGCGCCUGGGGCGAGGGCUCCGCUCCCUUCCUGUUCCUCCAUGCGGUCAUGUACGGGGCCCUCCUUGCGUUGCUCGCGCUUGACGCCCUGCUACUGUGCGCCCUGUGCGUGGCCUACGUGAUUGCAGUUGUAUCUGGAUCCACUUCGGGAUUCAAGAAGAGCGCCUUCGGAGCAAUCACAGGGGAGUCAGCUGCACACUUGUUUAGGCUUCUGCGCCCCGCGGUGCUUGGAUUUGUCGUGGAGUUGGCCUUCAUCCUGCUAGCGCUCGCUGGUCUUCUGGUAGAGAUGAUGUCGCCACAUGUGAAGGGAUCGAUAUCUCUGGGGGAAAUGGUCGGUUCUGUAAUCGAGGAUGUGGGGAUAUUUGGUAUGCACGCGACAGUUUGCUUUCUUAUCAUCCCAGCUCUCGUUCUUAGUCUUUGGAGGGAGUGCUAG
RNAcentral lists this ribosomal RNA (678 nucleotides) under Triticum aestivum (bread wheat). RNAcentral's name for it is "partial small subunit ribosomal RNA". The record is from RNAcentral. Lineage: Eukaryota; Viridiplantae; Streptophyta; Magnoliopsida; Poales; Poaceae.